UGUCUAUACCGUAUACCACUUC
This 22-nucleotide non-coding RNA is filed under the name Arabidopsis thaliana (thale cress). The record is from RNAcentral. Lineage: Eukaryota; Viridiplantae; Streptophyta; Magnoliopsida; Brassicales; Brassicaceae.